This 1559-nucleotide long non-coding RNA is filed under the name Malus domestica (apple). Its description in RNAcentral is "long non-coding RNA (MDOM_LNC021113)". Lineage: Eukaryota; Viridiplantae; Streptophyta; Magnoliopsida; Rosales; Rosaceae. The record is from RNAcentral.
UAUAUCCAUACCCUAGUAAUGUUAUUGAGAGUAUUGUUUUAGAGAAGGAUCGAAUUACAUUGUAAUUCCAAAUGAAUAGGUUCUCCGAACAACUUCUACAUUAGCUUGGGUAGCUAUGACAUAUGGUUAGAUGUCACUCAUAGCUUGUGAGUUUUUCUAGAUGAUUAAAUGUAGUCAUCAAAGAAGAAAGGUGAAUUAAAAUGAAGUUUUAAUUCACUAAGUGAUUGAAUUAAAUAUAAUCAAUUGGAUUGAUGCCAAUCACCUCACUGCCUUGCUAAUUAGAACCUAAAAUGAUUGUACACCGAUACACUCUUGUAGUGAGUAAUUAAUGGAUGAUGGAAAUAAUUAAUUGGAUUAAUUAAGUGUUGUGAUUAAUUUAGAAAGUCUAAAGAAAUCAUAAAAGCGAUAAAGAUCGUUUUGGGCUUAAAGAAACGUUCGGGUUUAAUUGGGCCCAUUGGGCCUAAACCCAUUGGGCUUUUAUUCAAGCAUUGGAUGACUUGAAAUAAAUGAGAGCCCAAAGCCCAAACAACACAAAGAGGGCCGGCCACUUUAAGGUGAAGAGGGUGAGAUAUUUAGUCAAGUUGUUGACUAGGUUUCUUUUGUCUAUAUAAGGAACUUUAUACAGAUAUUGUUCAUUAGGGUUUUUGUGUGUUUAAAACAACAAAGAGGCAAAAGAAAUAUCUCUCUAAAACACAUCAAAGGCCGGCCACCUUGGGGUGAUUUUACUAACACAUCUUUCACCCUUUGGUUAUUCCUUCAUCCUUCUCACUACACUAGUGGGUGAGGAUCUUUAGAGGUUUUCAACUUUGGAAACUUGAAGAGAACCUAGGAGCACUCAUUCUUUCAAAGUGGAGGAGGCAAGGAGGGAAGCUAGGCUUAAGGAGUUCAAGGAACAAAGGGCUUGGAGGUGGUCCAUCCUUGGUCUCAAGUCUAGAUCAAGAGGUAUUAGACUAAACCUUCACUUUGUUCUUCUCUAAAAUUGUUUUGAUGCAUUAUAUAUAAACCUAUGAACCUUGAAGGGGAUUUGCAUGACUAUAGCUUUGAUAAUUUGUUAUAAAUGCUUCCGCUGCUUUCGUAUAUUAAAUUUGAUUUGUAUAUGCAUGAUAGUCAUUUUCGAAAUCCCAUAUGAAAACUCAUAAUUUUCCCUUCAUGGAUUAGUUAGAGGUCCGUUCUUCGCACAUGACACACUUGUACAUGAAUUGAUUUCCAAUUGCUUUUCAAUAAACUAUGAUGCUCAACACCCCAGAUUAACCGUGAUUCACAAAUUAACCCUCAGAUUUUCCUUUACUCAUUGAAUUGGAUGAAUGCAUGCGACAACCCAAAUCAUUCUCUAAAAGUCCCCUAUAUGAAUGCAUAAUAGAGAUACAAUCAGAGAUCAUUACGUUCAAUGAAAAUCAUAAGUGUUGACGAGGCAAUUAUAACUAUGAAUGCAUGAUACAAUUGCUAAGAAUUCAAUUAACGCGAUUGUGAUAAACAACCUUCACUACUCAUGAAUAUAAACUUGUAAUGAUUAGGUGAAACUCAUUUAUGUUCUAGCAUCUAAUUCAUGCAUGAAAACU